RNAcentral lists this ribosomal RNA (322 nucleotides) under uncultured eukaryote. RNAcentral's name for it is "partial 18S ribosomal RNA". It matches the Rfam family "Eukaryotic small subunit ribosomal RNA", at positions 1470 to 1796 of the family's 1831-position model. The record is from RNAcentral.
CCCUUAGAUGUUCUGGGCCGCACGCGUGCUACACUGAGUGGAUCAGCGGGUCAGGUUGCGCGAAAGUGUUUCCUAAUCUUGAAAUCCGCUCGUGAUGGGGAUUGACGGUUGCAAUUUUCCGUCAUGAACGAGGAAUACCUUGUAAGCGCGGGUCAUCAUCCCGCGCUGAAUACGUCCCUGCCCUUUGUACACACCGCCCGUCGCUCCUACCGAUUGAGUGGUCCGGUGAGGCUUUGGGAUCUAAGCGAAAAGAGCGUUUCGCUCCUUUUGCUGGGAGAACUCAGUCGAACCUUAUCAUUUAGAGGAAGGAGAAGUCGUAACA